UUUCGGUUGAUCCUGCCGGACCUGACUGCUAUCGGAUUGGUACUAAGCCAUGCGAGUCGUUGUAGCAAUACAAGGCGAACUGCUCAGUAACACGUAGUUAACCUAACCUAUGGAUGGGGAUAACCUCGGGAAACUGAGAAUAAUACCCAAUAGAUCACAGUGCCUGGAAUGGCCUGUGAUUGAAAUGAUUUAUCGCUGUAGGAUGGGACUGCGGCCUAUCAGCUUGUUGGUGAGGUAAUGGCCCACCAAGGCUAUAACAGGUACGGGCUCUGAGAGGAGGGGCCCGGAGAUGGGUACUGAGACACGGACCCAGGCCCUAUGGGGCGCAGCAGGCGAGAAACCUUUGCAAUGUGCGAAAGCACGACAAGGUUAAUCCGAGUGUCUCCUGCUAAAGGAGUCUUUUGUCAGUUGUAGAAUCACUGGCGAAUAAGGGGUGGGCAAGUUCUGGUGUCAGCCGCCGCGGUAAAACCAGCACCUCGAGUGGUCAGGAGGUUUAUUGGGCCUANAGCAUCCGUAGCCGGUUGCAUAAGUUUUCGGUUAAAUCUAUGCGCUUAACGUAUAGGCCGCCGAAAAUACUGUGCAGCUAGGGC
This 590-nucleotide ribosomal RNA is filed under the name uncultured archaeon. Its description in RNAcentral is "bacterial SSU rRNA". It matches the Rfam family "Archaeal small subunit ribosomal RNA", at positions 1 to 598 of the family's 1478-position model. The record is from RNAcentral.